RNAcentral lists this non-coding RNA (26 nucleotides) under Mus musculus (house mouse). The record is from RNAcentral. Lineage: Eukaryota; Metazoa; Chordata; Mammalia; Rodentia; Muridae.
UGGUGAGAAUCAUGCUUGGGGUAUGA